AUUGAACGCUGGCGGCAUGCUUUACACAUGCAAGUCGAACGGUAACAGGCCGCAAGGUGCUGACGAGUGGCGAACGGGUGAGUAAUGCAUCGGAACGUGCCCAGUCGUGGGGGAUAACUACUCGAAAGAGUAGCUAAUACCGCAUACGAUCUAUGGAUGAAAGCGGGGACCGGAAGGGCUCGGGCGGAUUGGGCGGGCGAUGUCAGAUUAGGUAGUUGGUGGGGUAAAGGCUCACCAAGCCAACGAUCUGUAGCUGGUCUGAGAGGACGACCAGCCACACUGGGACUGAGACACGGCCCAGACUCCUACGGGAGGCAGCAGUGGGGAAUUUUGGACAAUGGGCGCAAGCCUGAUCCAGCAAUGCCGCGUGCAGGAAGAAGGCCUUCGGGUUGUAAACUGCUUUUGUACGGAACGAAACGGCUCUGGUUAAUACCCGGGGCUAAUGACGGUACCGUAAGAAUAAGCACCGGCUAACUACGUG
This 481-nucleotide ribosomal RNA is filed under the name uncultured bacterium. RNAcentral's name for it is "partial 16S ribosomal RNA". It matches the Rfam family "Bacterial small subunit ribosomal RNA", at positions 30 to 507 of the family's 1533-position model. The record is from RNAcentral.